This is a long non-coding RNA of Myotis myotis, 1027 nucleotides long. RefSeq lists it as uncharacterized. Lineage: Eukaryota; Metazoa; Chordata; Mammalia; Chiroptera; Vespertilionidae. The transcript has 3 exons. The record is from RefSeq and is a predicted model, not a curated record.
GGGGCUGAGGAGGGGCGGGUGGAAGCAGGGAGCGUCCCCGGAGGGCACAGCACAUGCAAAGCCCCCGGAGUUGUGGGUGAGGUGCCCGCUGCGUGCCCAGGGCCAGGUGCUACCAAGACAAAAGCCCUGGUUCCCGGGUGAGGAGGCUCAGACCAGAAGCGCCAGCGGCUCCGAAACCCACGGUGUCACCUGCACCAGGGCCUGGGGCUGGGGGGAUGCCUUCUCUACUCAACCAGCUGCCAGGCCUUCCUUCCCGUUUAUUUCUAACCACUGAACUGUGCCAAGCUCAAAGCCCCCCCCCAACCCGGAAAACCAGGGCUGAGGGGCAUCAGUGCUGCUCCUUCCAGCAACAACAGAGACGUCUCGGUGCCACACGGAGCCGAGAAACCAGACACGACCAGGGUCUAGGACCGUCCAUGGUGCUCGAGAUGAAAGGACGGGCUCCCCUCGCGGGCAGGGCUGCUCAAGAGUGACAGCCUUUUCUACAUCCCGCUGGGGCGCCCUGCAGGGCCCAUCAGAACCCGGACUGAAGUCGAAGAUCUCUGCGACUCACUGUGUGCAAACUGGGCCUCAACCUCAGACACGCCCCGAAAAAUAGAACCCCCACCCCAGAGAGUCCAUCCUCGCUCCUCACAACCAAACGCAGCGUCCGAGCCCAGAGUCCACGGUGACCUGCCGGCACCUACCUGCCUCCUCCAGGCUGGGGAAGUGCUGGAAAUUCAGGUCAGCGGACAGCAGGACAUGGAGCACGGGCUCCUGCGGGACAGAGAGAGGUCAGCGCCGGGCAGGGACACCAUGCUGUGGCCACGGGGCAGCCCACCCAGCGCCCACAGGCGAGCACGGUCUCUCUCACCGUCCCCAGGUGGGUACCACUCCCCCCUCAGGGAAACGGAGUACAGACCAGGCCCCCGGGGACAGGGACGGUGUUAAGAGAGAUUUUUAGGCCUGGCUGGCAUGGCUCACUGGUUGAGCAUUGAUGUAUGAACCGGGAGGUCAUGGUUCAAUUCCAGGUCAGGGCACAUGCCCC